UAGAGUUUGAUUCUGGCUCAGGAUGAACGCUAGCGGCAGGCCUAAUACAUGCAAGUCGAACGGUUCUAGCAAUAGAAUAGUGGCGCACGGGUGCGUAACGCGUAACCAACCUGCCCUUGACUGGGGGAUAGCCCGCCGAAAGGCGGAUUAAUACCGCAUAAACUAGCAGUCUGGCAUCAGGCAACUAGUAAAGAUUUAUUGGUCAAGGAUGGGGUUGCGUGACAUUAGCUAGUUGGCGGGGUAAAGGCCCACCAAGGCGACGAUGUCUAGGGGACCUGAGAGGGUGAUCCCCCACACUGGCACUGAGAUACGGGCCAGACUCCUACGGGAGGCAGCAGUAGGGAAUAUUGGGCAAUGGGCGAGAGCCUGACCCAGCCAUGCCGCGUGCCGGAUGAAGGCCUUCUGGGUUGUAAACGGCUUUUCUCAGGGAAGAAAACGACCAUGCGUGGUACACUGACGGUACCUGAGGAAUAAGCACCGGCUAACUCCGUGCCAGCAGCCGCGGUAAU
RNAcentral lists this ribosomal RNA (509 nucleotides) under uncultured Bacillota bacterium. Its description in RNAcentral is "bacterial SSU rRNA". It matches the Rfam family "Bacterial small subunit ribosomal RNA", at positions 1 to 524 of the family's 1533-position model. The record is from RNAcentral. Lineage: Bacteria; Bacillati; Bacillota.